UAUUUUCAGCGAUGGAUGUCUUGGCUCGCGCAACGAUGAAGGACGCAGUGAAAUGCGAAACGCAAUGUGAAUUGCAGAAUUCAGGGAAUCAUCAGAUUUCUGAACGCAAAUGGCACCUU
RNAcentral lists this ribosomal RNA (119 nucleotides) under Sarcocystis bertrami. RNAcentral describes it as "partial 5.8S ribosomal RNA". It matches the Rfam family "5.8S ribosomal RNA", at positions 1 to 119 of the family's 154-position model. Rfam says of the family: 5.8S ribosomal RNA (5.8S rRNA) is a component of the large subunit of the eukaryotic ribosome. Lineage: Eukaryota; Apicomplexa; Conoidasida; Eucoccidiorida; Sarcocystidae. The record is from RNAcentral.